This 233-nucleotide long non-coding RNA is filed under the name Linum usitatissimum (flax). Its description in RNAcentral is "long non-coding RNA (LUSI_LNC000464)". Lineage: Eukaryota; Viridiplantae; Streptophyta; Magnoliopsida; Malpighiales; Linaceae. The record is from RNAcentral.
CCCGGUAUUUUUCCCGCACAAUCCGGAAAAGCCUUUGAAAAGGCUUGGGCCUUAGAAGGCUUUGGUUCCUCCUCCAUGUCUUCUCUACGCCGUCAAAGCGAAGAAAGCAUAGCUCUUCUUUCGAUCGCUAAAGCUAAUGCCCUUCUUUUUCCUUCUCCUUCGAUCACGACACUUCCGGAGAUUCCAUUUUUCAUCAUAUUCUUCAUCCGUUGCUCUCACCUGCAAUCUGACGG